RNAcentral lists this ribosomal RNA (272 nucleotides) under uncultured prokaryote. RNAcentral describes it as "partial 16S ribosomal RNA". It matches the Rfam family "Bacterial small subunit ribosomal RNA", at positions 524 to 796 of the family's 1533-position model. The record is from RNAcentral.
UACGAAGGGUGCAAGCGUUACUCGGAAUUACUGGGCGUAAAGCGUGCGUAGGUGGUGAGUUAAGUCUGUCGUGAAAGCCCCGGGCUCAACCUGGGAAUGGCGAUGGAUACUGGCUCGCUAGAGUGCGGUAGAGGAGAGUGGAAUUCCCGGUGUAGCAGUGAAAUGCGUAGAGAUCGGGAGGAACAUCAGUUGCGAAGGCGGCUCUCUGGACCAGCACUGACACUGAGGCACGAAAGCGUGGGGAGCAAACAGGAUUAGAUACCCGUUAGUCC